GGGAAUUUUGGACAAUGGGGGAAACCCUGAUCCAGCCAUCCCGCGUGUAUGAUGAAGGCCUUCGGGUUGUAAAGUACUUUUGGCAGAGAAGAAAAGGUAUCCCCUAAUACGGGAUGCUGCUGACGGUAUCUGCAGAAUAAGCACCGGCUAACUACGUGCCAGCAGCCGCGGUAAUACGUAGGGUGCAAGCGUUAAUCGGAAUUACUGGGCGUAAAGCGUGUGUAGGCGGUUCGGAAAGAAAGAUGUGAAAUCCCAGGGCUCAACCUUGGAACUGCAUUUUUAACUGCCGAGCUAGAGUAUGUCAGAGGGGGGUAGAAUUCCACGUGUAGCAGUGAAAUGCGUAGAUAUGUGGAGGAAUACCGAUGGCGAAGGCAGCCCCCUGGGAUAAUACUGACGCUCAGACACGAAAGCGUGGGGAGCAAACAGG
This 427-nucleotide ribosomal RNA is filed under the name uncultured bacterium. Its description in RNAcentral is "partial 16S ribosomal RNA". It matches the Rfam family "Bacterial small subunit ribosomal RNA", at positions 357 to 776 of the family's 1533-position model. The record is from RNAcentral.